This 465-nucleotide ribosomal RNA is filed under the name Vreelandella stevensii. RNAcentral describes it as "partial 16S ribosomal RNA". It matches the Rfam family "Bacterial small subunit ribosomal RNA", at positions 338 to 795 of the family's 1533-position model. The record is from RNAcentral. Lineage: Bacteria; Pseudomonadati; Pseudomonadota; Gammaproteobacteria; Oceanospirillales; Halomonadaceae.
CCUACGGGGUGCAGCAGUGGGGAAUAUUGGACAAUGGGCGAAAGCCUGAUCCAGCCAUGCCGCGUGUGUGAAGAAGGCCUUCGGGUUGUAAAGCACUUUCAGUGGGGAAGAAAGCCUUGGGGCUAAUACCCUCGAGGAAGGACAUCACCCACAGAAGAAGCACCGGCUAACUCCGUGCCAGCAGCCGCGGUAAUACGGAGGGUGCGAGCGUUAAUCGGAAUUACUGGGCGUAAAGCGCGCGUAGGCGGUCUGAUAAGCCGGUUGUGAAAGCCCCGGGCUCAACCUGGGAACGGCAUCCGGAACUGUCAGGCUAGAGCGCAGGAGAGGAAGGUAGAAUUCCCGGUGUAGCGGUGAAAUGCGUAGAGAUCGGGAGGAAUACCAGUGGCGAAGGCGGCCUUCUGGACUGACACUGACGCUGAGGUGCGAAAGCGUGGGUAGCAAACAGGAUUAGAUACCCCAGUAGUC